UUUUGAAAAAACAGAAUGGGUCUGAAUAAUUUCUGAAUGUGAGUCUGGGAGUUUCACAAUCAACUGCAAACUCACUCUGCUGUCUGCCCUAAUCUGAACUCACUCUGCUGUCUGCCCUAAUCUGAACUCACUCUGUUUACUGCCCUAAUCUGAACUCACUCUGCUGUCUGCCCUAAUCUGAACUCACUCUGCUGUCUGCCCUAAUCUGAACUCACUCUGCUGUCUGCCCUAAUCUGAACUCACUCUGUUUACUGCCCUAAUCUGAACUCACUCUGCUGUCUGCCCUAAUCUGAACUCACUCUGCUGUCUGCCCUAAUCUGAACUCUCUGCUGGCUGCCCUAAUCUGAACUCCCUCUGCUGUCUGCCCUAAUCUGAACUCACUCUGCUGUCUGCCCUAAUCUGAACUCACUCUGCUGUCUGCCCUAAUCUGAACUCUCUGCUGGCUGCCCUAAUCUGAACUCCCUCUGCUGUCUGACCUAAUCUGAACUCCCUCUGAACAGGAUAUAGAGGGUGCCUCCCUAAUGCACCCUUCCCACUUUAUAGUUCACUACUUUUGACCAGAGCCAAUUCUACAGAAACAAUAACAGUGGCUGUCUUAAAAAGACUUCCUCAUUUAUGUUUUGAUUCUGAAACGGAAACACAUUCUAAGCUUCCGGGGUCAAGAAAAUGUUAGGCUGCGUCCCAAAUGCCUAUAGGCCCUGAGCAAAAGUAGUGCGCUAAAUAGGGAAUAGAGUUCCAUUGGGAACUACACCCUGUCAGUGUGUUGUGAGGGCAUAUCUCUAUGCCUAACCAUGCUGUACCAUGCUUUACUAUUAGUCUCCACAUUAACUGUGUCGUUUAGCUUCUUCCUUGUAUACAAAGUAGCAGUUCUAGAAGACGACAUCAACAAACUCAGAGGAGAUAUUUCAAACCUAAAGCCACAUUCUAAAGAAUCCCCAGACGGGAUGAUAACUGGUAUGUCCAGAACAUGGGAGAGAUCAAAGCAAGUGGCUUCCCUAAAUUCCCAGCAACAGAGACAGACAGAGAAAGACUCUCAGACUCUGUGUUCCUCGACAGUAUCCUCUCUGAGAAUGAAACGGGAGCAGGCCGGCUGUAGUGGAGUUCAGCAGUCGUUUCUGCAGCUGUCAGCCAACACAAAGGAACAGCCAUUUGUCAGAGGAAAUGUGACGGUGAUUCCUUGGAUAGUUGCCUUGCAUCAAGGGGAGGCCAUCUCUUCCACUGGAGACAGAAUCAUCAUCCAACAAGAAGGCUUCUUCAUAGUGUUUGGCCAGGUAUAUUGUCAGAGAUACCACCCCUUUGUCUUGCAUAUCAAUGUACUUAAUGGUUUAUGCGGCAAAUGUAAGGGAGAUGGUUCGGUCACCAUGCUAACCUUGCUUGAGGCCUUAGGCUUGGGAGAUGGUUCGGUCACCAUGCUAAACUUGCUUGAGGCCUUAGGCUUGGGAGAUGGUUCGGUCACCAUGCUAACCUUGCUUGAGGCCUUAGGCUUGGGAGAUGGUUCGGUCACCAUGCUAACCUUGCUUGAGGCCUUAGGCUUGGGAGAUGGUUCGGUCACCAUGCUAACCUUGCUUGAGGCCCUGGGCUUGGGAGAUGGUUCGGUCACCAUGCUAACCUUGCUUAAGGCCUUAGGCUUGGGAGAUGGUUCGGUCACCAUGCUAACCUUGCUUAAGGCCUUAGGAUUGGGAGAUGGUUCGGUCACCAUGCUAACCUUGCUUGAGGCCUUAGGCUUGGGAGAUGGUUCGGUCACCAUGCUAACCUUGCUUGAGGCCCUGGGCUUGGGAGAUGGUUCGGUCACCAUGCUAACCUUGCUUGAGGCCUUAGGCUUGGGAGAUGGUUCGGUCACCAUGCUAACCUUGCUUGAGGCCUUAGGCUUGGGAGAUGGUUCGGUCACCAUGCUAACCUUGCUUGAGGCCCUGGGCUUGGGAGAUGGUUCAGUCACCAUGCUAACCUUGCUUGAGGCCUUAGGCUUGGGAGAUGGUUCGGUCACCAUGCUAACCUUGCUUGAGGCCUUAGGCUUGGGAGAUGGUUCGGUCACCAUGCUAACCUUCCUUGAGGCCUUAGGCUUGGGAGAUGGUUCGGUCACCAUGCUAACCUUCCUUGAGGCCUUAGGCUUGGGAGAUCGUUUGAUUCCAUAAAGUGGGCCACAACUGGGUAAGUAAAGUUUUUACACCUAAUGGUGCUACGAUGCUCUGAGAUACGUACUUUUAAUUCACGCUUUGUUUUACCCACAUCAUUUUUACCACAAGGAUAAGAUAAAUAACUGCCUUAGUGGAGCACGUAAUAACACCUUUAAUUGGGAUCUGUUUCCCUGUUUGGGGGUGUUUGAAGGAUCUACAUUUAUAAGUGCCAUUGCAUUGAGCACAGCCUUUACACUUGUAGUUCCCAUCCAGGAGAGGCGCAAAUAGACGUUGUGCAGGGAUAUCUUAGGAGUGGUAAAUCAGAGUUUACCAAUUGAUCUCUGAGGGUUCUGCCCCAUUACGAUGACUACAUGGUUCGUCCUGUUGUUUCCCAGGUGUUGUUCCAAAGUCCAGGCACCAUCAUGGGUCACAUAGUGCGUAGUCGAGGAACCAAUCAGAGAUCCACAGAGCUGCUCCGCUGUCUACAGGAGAUGCCCCAGACCAACUGUGCCAAUACCUGCCACACUGGAGGCAUGGUGAAGCUGGAGAGAGAAGACGAGUUGGAGCUGGUGAUCCCAGAUCGACCCCAAGCCCAGGUCUCCAUGGACGCAGACUCAACCUUCUUUGGCAUCAUACGGCUGAACUGACUACCAGGAGACAGAAGUCACCAGCAGGAGGUGUGGGACUUGAUGUCAUGAACAGGAUGAUGUCCUCCUCUGACAGGAUGAUGUCCUCCUCUGACAGGAUGAUGUCCUCCUCUGACAGGAUGAUGUCCUCCUCUGACAGGAUGAUCUCCUCCUCUGACAGGAUGAUGUCCUUCCCCGACAGGAGGAUGUCCUCCUCUGACAGGAUGAUGUCCUUCCCUGACAGGAGGAUGUCCUCCUCUGACAGGAUGAUGUCCUUCCCUGACAGGAUGAUGUCCUCCUCUGACAGGAUGAUGUCUUAUUGUUGUAACAACUUUCAUCCAUGGAGAGUUUUAUCCAUGGAGAGUGGAAGAUGGCUGGGAGCAGAAAUGUUAUUUUUAUAAACUAUUUUAAUAUGAAUAAUCUGACAAUAUGAAAUCGACCUUGAAUGCUGUUGUGCUGAGUACGGGUGGUGUCCAGCAUACAUUAAAUGUUUGGUUUCCAUAUGUGUCGAUAGUUGAAGUGUAAUAUAGUAUUCAGGUUGUCCUGAUCCACCUGGUUGGUUGUGUGCCACGCAUCAUCAACGUAGGAUUCUUCCUCUGUGUGUGUGUGUGUGUGUGUGUGUGUGUGUGUGUGUGUGUGUGUGUGUGUGUGUGUGUGUGUGUGUGUGUGUGUGUGUGCUCUGUCAUCACAGAGUAUGUGUGUGUGUGUGUGUGUGCUCUGUCAUCACAGAGUAUUUCUGUGUGUUUGUUGAUACCUUUCAGGUUUUCCUUCCUCCCACUCUCCUUUCGUUUAUUUAUUCUUCCUUUCUAUUUCAGAAAGGCUUCUGUUUUCCCAGGACUAUAGCAGGAACAAACAGAGGAUAAAUAUACCUGGCUCGGAGGGCAGAUUUUCCAGACCGGUUGACAUAAUAUCUAAUCUAAUGACACAAUAAUUGUGAUGAUCCAACAUGUGACGUGUCUAAAUCAUGUUUAAUGGUUAUUUUGAAGGCCACAGCCCAUUUGUAUUGUAUUUCAAAUAUAUAUUCUAUAAAAGAGCUUAUUUUUCUACACUAAUAACAAACGUGUCAAUAAUAAGAUGUGUAAUUUC
This is an RNA transcript of Oncorhynchus kisutch (coho salmon), 3826 nucleotides long. It is a transcript of the gene named tumor necrosis factor ligand superfamily member 13B, with no coding region annotated. The transcript is spliced from 5 exons. NCBI's taxonomy places the organism in Eukaryota, Metazoa, Chordata, Actinopteri, Salmoniformes, Salmonidae. The record is from RefSeq and is a predicted model, not a curated record.